Long non-coding RNA from Drosophila nasuta, 1129 nucleotides. RefSeq lists it as uncharacterized. Lineage: Eukaryota; Metazoa; Arthropoda; Insecta; Diptera; Drosophilidae. The record is from RefSeq and is a predicted model, not a curated record. The transcript is spliced from 3 exons.
AAAAUUGGAAUAACUGCUUAAAAUUACUUUCCGCUUUAAGAUGGAAAUGUAUUUUGAUUGCGUUUAUUUUAGUGUGCUCUACGGAUGUUUUAGACGUUUUCCAACACAAAUAGGUUUCAACGAUUUUUAUAAGCCAUUUGGAAUUAAAUUAUAAAGCUUUAUUUUAGAUGUUAAAAUUACAAUUGAUCAUAGUUUAUUUUAACCACUUCCAAUCGACAAUUGAAAUAUCUUUUUUCAACGACUGACCUUCGGAAACUGGAAAAAUUGCUUGCGUAUAGUAUUAGCAAUGUUAAGAAGUUGAAUUUUUUUCAUUUCAAGAGACACACAAAUUUUGUAAAAUGGAUCCGCGAACAGCAGUUGAAAAGCAAGAAGACGUCGCGAGAAGAAACGCACCCAAUGAAAUUUUUAACGAGACCGACGAGUCUACCGGCAAAUCCGUUAGAAUCCGAAGCAUUGUGCACCAAGAGUGAGCUAGUGGCGGAAUUGGGUAAGGCAACUUUAAUGACAGAAUUGAGCACAAGAUGCCGUUUAUAAGUAGCAAGAAUCAAAAGGCUCGUUUAAAAUUUUCCAAGGAGCAUGUGAGGAAGGAUGAUAAAAUUUGUUGCUUGCAUGGAGCCGCAUAUGUCUGGCGGAAGCCAAAUACCGAGCUCCAAAACAUUGAUUUAAAUCCUACAGUCAAGCAUAGCGGUGGCAGUGGCAUGGUCUUGUAUAUCCACAGACGGAGUCGGAAAGCUGCAUUUUAUUGAACCACAAUAGACACGACUCACUAUCUGGCGGUACUGAAAGCCAAUUACCUCCAAAGUAAGGAUAAACUGGGCAUUAGGGACGAUUUCCGCUUCUACCAAUUUGGAAUUGUCAUCAUGUCCUGCAACCACCAGGUCAGUCAACUGACAUUAAUGUUAUUGAGAAUUUGUUGGCCAUUCAGGACUACAAUAUUUAUGUAUAUAAUAGCUCUGGUAUGGCAACAACAUGGGUAGAAUCAAAAUUCCACAUCGUCUUGGAAUAUUCAACAAAAGGAAGGUCUUACGAAGUAUUAAAUACAUUGUUUAACAUAUUUAUACUUAAAUAAGCUGUGGUAUUUUUUUGUUAUUUUGUUUGUUUUUCAAUUAUUGUAUUAAGUUAACAAAAA